This 389-nucleotide ribosomal RNA is filed under the name uncultured bacterium. RNAcentral's name for it is "bacterial SSU rRNA". It matches the Rfam family "Bacterial small subunit ribosomal RNA", at positions 28 to 417 of the family's 1533-position model. The record is from RNAcentral.
GACGAACGCUGGCGGCGUGCUUAACACAUGCAAGUCGAGCGGUAAGGCCCUUUCGGGGGUACACGAGCGGCGAACGGGUGAGUAACACGUGGGUGACCUGCCCUCAGCUCUGGGAUAAGCCUGGGAAACCGGGGUCUAAUACCGGAUAUGACUCCAUGACGCAUGUUGUGGGGUGGAAAGCCUUGUGCGGCUGAGGAUGGGCCCGCGGCCUAUCAGCUUGUUGGUGGGGNGAUGGCCUACCAAGGCGACGACGGGUAGCCGGCCUGAGAGGGCGACCGGCCACACUGGGACUGAGACACGGCCCAGACUCCUACGGGAGGCAGCAGUGGGGAAUCUUGCGCAAUGGGCGAAAGCCUGACGCAGCGACGCCGCGUGAGGGAUGACGGCCU